UGCCAGCAGCCGCGGUAAUACGGAGGAUGCAAGCGUUAUCCGGAUUUAUUGGGUCUAAAGGGUGCGCAGGCGGUUUGUUAAGUCAGAGGUGAAAUCCCGUUGCUCAACAACGGAACUGCCUUUGAUACUGACAAACUUGAAUAUAGACGAAGUGGGCGGAAUAAGUCAUGUAGCGGUGAAAUGCAUAGAUAUGACUUAGAACACCGAUAGCGAAGGCAGCUCACUAGGCUAUUAUUGACGCUCAUGCACGAAAGCGUGGGGAGCGAACAGGAGUAGAUA
This 279-nucleotide ribosomal RNA is filed under the name uncultured bacterium. RNAcentral's name for it is "partial 16S ribosomal RNA". It matches the Rfam family "Bacterial small subunit ribosomal RNA", at positions 506 to 784 of the family's 1533-position model. The record is from RNAcentral.